UACGUAGGUGGCAAGCGUUGUCCGGAUUUAUUGGGUUUAAAGGGUGCGUAGGCGGCUUUGUAAGUCAGUGGUGAAAUAUGGCAGCUCAACUGUCAAGGUGCCAUUGAUACUGCAGAGCUUGAGUACAGAUGAGGUAGGCGGAAUUGACGGUGUAGCGGUGAAAUGCUUAGAUAUCGUCAAGAACACCUAUAGCGAAGGCAGCUUACUAGGCUGUAACUGACGCUGAGGCGCGAAAGCGUGGGGAGCGAACAGG
Molecule: ribosomal RNA, 253 nt
Filed under: uncultured bacterium
Lineage: Bacteria
Description: partial 16S ribosomal RNA
Rfam family: Bacterial small subunit ribosomal RNA
Source: RNAcentral